GAUGAAGAACGUAGUGAAAUGCGAUACUUGGUGUGAAUUGCAGAAUCCCGUGAACCAUCGAGUCUUUGAACGCAAGUUGCGCCCGAAGCCAUCAGGUUGAGGGCACGUCUGCCUGGGCGUCACAUAUCGUUGCCCAAUGCCUAUUGCAGUGCAAUAGGAAUUUCUAGGGCGAAUGAUGGCUUCCUGUGAGCGUUGUUGCCUCGCGGUUGGUUGAAAAUCGAGUCCUUGGUAGGGUGUGCCAUGGUAGAUGGUGGUCGAGUUAGAACGAUACCGAUCAUGUGCAUGCUCCCCAAAAUAUGGCCUCUAUGACCCACACGCGUCUUUUGACGCUCAUGACGAGACCUCAGGUCAGGCGGGGCUACCCGCUGAAUUUAAGCAUAUCAAUAAGCGGAGGA
RNAcentral lists this unclassified non-coding RNA (395 nucleotides) under soil metagenome. Its description in RNAcentral is "partial contains 5.8S ribosomal RNA, internal transcribed spacer 2, and large subunit ribosomal RNA". The stretch from base 1 to 122 matches the Rfam family "5.8S ribosomal RNA", at positions 35 to 154 of the family's 154-position model. The record is from RNAcentral.